RNAcentral lists this long non-coding RNA (201 nucleotides) under Nicotiana benthamiana. RNAcentral's name for it is "long non-coding RNA (NBEN_LNC000682)". Lineage: Eukaryota; Viridiplantae; Streptophyta; Magnoliopsida; Solanales; Solanaceae. The record is from RNAcentral.
ACACUCUCCCUCUUGGCGAUGACCUGAGAUCCAAUCAUCACGUCUUUGCCUACUUCGCUCGGCUCAGCGCUAAACUUACACUCCAUGUAUUCAAUCUUAGAUCUGCUUAUUUUGAAACCCUUAGACUCGAGAGUCUGUCUCACUCUAACCUCUCAAUAACACCGACCCUCGUCUCGUCUAUCAAGACUAUGUCAUCAGUAA